RNAcentral lists this ribosomal RNA (495 nucleotides) under uncultured bacterium. RNAcentral describes it as "partial 16S ribosomal RNA". It matches the Rfam family "Bacterial small subunit ribosomal RNA", at positions 28 to 507 of the family's 1533-position model. The record is from RNAcentral.
GACGAACGCUGGCGGCGUGCCUAAUACAUGCAAGUCGAACGCUGAAGGAGGGGCUUGCUUCUCUGGAUGAGUUGCGAACGGGUGAGUAACGCGUAGGUAACCUGCCUGGUAGCGGGGGAUAACUAUUGGAAACGAUAGCUAAUACCGCAUAAUAGUAGAUGUUGCAUGACAUUUGCUUAAAAGGUGCAAUUGCAUCACUACCAGAUGGAACUGCGUUGUAUUAGCUAGUUGGUGGGGUAACGGCUCACCAAGGCGACGAUACAUAGCCGACCUGAGAGGGGGAUCGGCCACACUGGGACUGAGACACGGCCCAGACUCCUACGGGAGGCAGCAGUAGGGAAUCUUCGGCAAUAGACGGAAGUCUGACCGAGCAACGCCGCGGGAGGGAAGAAGGGUUUCGGAUCGUAAAGCUCUGUUGUAAGAGAAGAAAGAGUGUGAGAGUGGAAAGUUCACACUGUGACGGUAGCUUACCAGAAAGGGACGGCUAACUACGUG